UUCUUGUGAAUAGGGUUUAGAGCAAGAAGCAAAGAGCUUUUGUUCGCCAAGUUCUCUUCCACGUAAUCGUACUUUAUACCUUUGAGUUUGAGAGCCAUCUCGAUCCGACGGCUAAAAGGGCUCGCCCAUAGCCCCAAAAGCUUCACUUCUUCAUUCUCCGCCAUUAGGUAUCUCUCUCGCUCUGUUUCUAAGCUUUCUCAGAAAUUAUGGUUUUUCUUUGGUUUUGUAGACUUAUGGGUGCUUAGAGCUUUAGAUUUAUAGGCUUAGGGCAUUUAAUGGUCUUGUGGUUAAACGACGAUCGGCUCUUAAGGUGUAAUUGCGAAGAAUCAAGAAGGCGAUUGAUGUUGACUGUAGAACUUUAUAUUCGCAACGUUCACUCUAGCUAGUGAUUUACGUUAGUCAACAAUACAGUAUAAUGUUACUUAGGAACUAGGACCAAUGCCAAAGUUUUAGUUCAGUCUAUCGGGAAAAGAAAUAUUUUGGUCUUGGUCUAACCAAAUUCAUAAUCAAAAUACACGAACAUAAAUUGCGUUUAGUGCAAUUUGUUUUACUA
This 553-nucleotide long non-coding RNA is filed under the name Capsella grandiflora. Its description in RNAcentral is "long non-coding RNA (CGRA_LNC000944)". The record is from RNAcentral. Lineage: Eukaryota; Viridiplantae; Streptophyta; Magnoliopsida; Brassicales; Brassicaceae.